GACGAACGCUGGCGGCGUGCCUAAUACAUGCAAGUUGAGCGCUGAAGGUUGGUCCUUGUACCAACUGGAUGAGCAGCGAACGGGUGAGUACCGCGUGGGGAAUCUGCCUUUGAGCGGGGGACAACAUUUGGAAACGAAUGCUAAUACCGCAUAAAAACUUUAAACACAAGUUUUAAGUUUGAAAGAUGCAAUUGCAUCACUCAAAGAUGAUCCCGCGUUGUAUUAGCUAGUUGGUGAGGUAAAGGCUCACCAAGGCGAUGAUACAUAGCCGACCUGAGAGGGUGAUCGGCCACAUUGGGACUGAGACACGGCCCAAACUCCUACGGGAGGCAGCAGUAGGGAAUCUUCGGCAAUGGACGAAAGUCUGACCGAGCAACGCCGCGUGAGUGAAGAAGGUUUUCGGAUCGUAAAACUCUGUUGGUAGAGAAGAACGUUGGUGAGAGUGGAAAGCUCAUCAAGUGACGGUAACUACCCAGAAAGGGACGGCUAACUACGUG
RNAcentral lists this ribosomal RNA (497 nucleotides) under uncultured bacterium. RNAcentral describes it as "partial 16S ribosomal RNA". It matches the Rfam family "Bacterial small subunit ribosomal RNA", at positions 28 to 507 of the family's 1533-position model. The record is from RNAcentral.